CGCGAAAGUGAUGAGUUGCACGUUGGUGUGGCCACAGCAUCGGGUGAUGUGGGCUGCACUCAGUAGCAGUCUGGUGACAAACCAAGUGCACAGGGGCCAUCUGACUCGCG
RNAcentral lists this small nucleolar RNA (110 nucleotides) under Sarcophilus harrisii (Tasmanian devil). RNAcentral describes it as "Small nucleolar RNA SNORD67 (ENSSHAG00000028744.1)". It matches the Rfam family "Small nucleolar RNA SNORD67". From Rfam's summary of the family: snoRNA HBII-166 belongs to the C/D family of snoRNAs. Lineage: Eukaryota; Metazoa; Chordata; Mammalia; Dasyuromorphia; Dasyuridae. The record is from Rfam by way of RNAcentral.